Molecule: non-coding RNA, 45 nt
Organism: Nematostella vectensis (starlet sea anemone)
Lineage: Eukaryota; Metazoa; Cnidaria; Anthozoa; Actiniaria; Edwardsiidae
Source: Rfam
ACAACGGCUCUUGUAGGAGCCACACUUUUGUAAAAGUGAAUGCUC